AUUGAACGCUGGCGGCAUGCUUUACACAUGCAAGUCGGACGGCAGCACAGAGAAGCUUGCUUCUUGGGUGGCGAGUGGCGAACGGGUGAGUAACAUAUCGGAACGUACCGAGUAAUGGGGGAUAACUAAUCGAAAGAUUAGCUAAUACCGCAUAUUCUCUGAGGAGGAAAGCAGGGGACCUUCGGGCCUUGCGUUAUUCGAGCGGCCGAUAUCUGAUUAGCUAGUUGGUGGGGUAAAGGCCUACCAAGGCAACGAUCAGUAGCGGGUCUGAGAGGAUGAUCCGCCACACUGGGACUGAGACACGGCCCAGACUCCUACGGGAGGCAGCAGUGGGGAAUUUUGGACAAUGGGCGCAAGCCUGAUCCAGCCAUGCCGCGUGUCUGAAGAAGGCCUUCGGGUUGUAAAGGACUUUUGUCAGGGAAGAAAAGGUUGUUGCUAAUAUCGACAGCUGAUGACG
RNAcentral lists this ribosomal RNA (457 nucleotides) under Neisseria flavescens. RNAcentral's name for it is "bacterial SSU rRNA". It matches the Rfam family "Bacterial small subunit ribosomal RNA", at positions 30 to 487 of the family's 1533-position model. Lineage: Bacteria; Pseudomonadati; Pseudomonadota; Betaproteobacteria; Neisseriales; Neisseriaceae. The record is from RNAcentral.